RNAcentral lists this ribosomal RNA (245 nucleotides) under uncultured bacterium. RNAcentral's name for it is "partial 16S ribosomal RNA". It matches the Rfam family "Bacterial small subunit ribosomal RNA", at positions 15 to 262 of the family's 1533-position model. The record is from RNAcentral.
GAUCCUGGCUCAGAUUGAACGCUGGCGGCAGGCCUAACACAUGCAAGUCGAGCGGUAGAGAGAAGCUUGCUUCUCUUGAGAGCGGCGGACGGGUGAGUAAUACCUAGGAAUCUGCCUGAUAGUGGGGGAUAACGUUCGGAAACGGACGCUAAUACCGCAUACGUCCUACGGGAGAAAGCAGGGGACCUUCGGCCGUUGCGCUAUCAGAUGAGCCUAGGUCGGAUUAGCUAGUUGGUUGAGGUAAG